AUGCUCUCUCCAACAGCACAUAUGCUAAAACUGAAAUGAUAUAGAGAAGACAAGCAUGGCCCUUUUAUAUCAGAAAACAAGCACUUUUAUAUCUUGUAGCCUACUUCU
Molecule: small nuclear RNA, 108 nt
Filed under: Sorex araneus (European shrew)
Lineage: Eukaryota; Metazoa; Chordata; Mammalia; Eulipotyphla; Soricidae
Source: RNAcentral